Long non-coding RNA from Brachypodium distachyon (stiff brome), 691 nucleotides. RefSeq lists it as uncharacterized. The transcript has 2 exons. The record is from RefSeq and is a predicted model, not a curated record. NCBI's taxonomy places the organism in Eukaryota, Viridiplantae, Streptophyta, Magnoliopsida, Poales, Poaceae.
GAUCCCAAUUCCGAGCUAAAACGCUCGACAUUGCUAGAUAUUCGGGAUUGCUCGUCCCUUCGACGGAACACCCGGGAUCGACCCCCCGUGGACGCAUUCUUUUCUCCCCCUUUCUCCUCUUCUCAGCGACACCUUAUAACAGAAGCACGAGGGAUUUGCCUCCCAGGUCCCAGCCACGCAGAAGUUCCUCCGUCGACGGCGGCGGCGCAGCUGCAGGUCGACGACGACGACGACACCGACCCGGCGGCCACCGGCCGGCCGGUGCAGGUGGCUCAGCCCUCCUCCACUGUACGGCGCCAGGAUCAGCAGGGCAGCAGCAGCAGCCGGGUGCCCGGGUCAAGCCCCUCCUACUCAGAGUCAGUAGCCGGCAGCCCAGAACUGAAGGGCCUCGAUUAGAAGACGUCGAACUGCAGGAGGUUGUAAUUUUGCUCUUUGGUUACGUGCUUGCUUUUAUAUUCCUAAAUUGUGAUUAGCAGCAAACUAUUCUAGUAUUGCUUACGAGGAUCUAAAACAGGCAGCUGUACUGAAUUAUUCUGCUCCCAAGAUUUGUCUUGUCAACUGAGAAUUGCUCUUUGUUUCAGACUUUGUAAUACUGCGUAUGAGACUGUAAUGUGUAAAGAUGGUUAUGUUUCAGACUCCAUAUUAUGUUGAUGUGAUCAUUGUGGUGGAUUAUGCAUGCCACUUGCUAUUA